RNAcentral lists this transfer RNA (75 nucleotides) under Candidatus Tritonobacter lacicola. RNAcentral's name for it is "tRNA-Thr". It matches the Rfam family "tRNA". Rfam says of the family: Transfer RNA (tRNA) molecules are approximately 80 nucleotides in length. Their secondary structure includes four short double-helical elements and three loops (D, anti-codon, and T loops). Lineage: Bacteria; Pseudomonadati; Candidatus Auribacterota; Candidatus Tritonobacteria; Candidatus Tritonobacterales; Candidatus Tritonobacteraceae. The record is from RNAcentral.
GCCGGCGUAGCUCAGUGGUAGAGCAGCUGAUUUGUAAUCAGCCGGUCAUCCGUUCGAAUCGGAUCGCCGGCUCCA